This 253-nucleotide ribosomal RNA is filed under the name uncultured bacterium. RNAcentral describes it as "partial 16S ribosomal RNA". It matches the Rfam family "Bacterial small subunit ribosomal RNA", at positions 524 to 776 of the family's 1533-position model. The record is from RNAcentral.
UACGAAGGGAGCUAGCGUUGUUCGGAAUCACUGGGCGUAAAGCGCAUGUAGGCGGAUUUGUCAGUCAGGGGUGAAAUCCCGGGGCUCAACCUCGGAACUGCCUUUGAUACAGCAAGUCUUGAGUUCGAGAGAGGUGGGUGGAAUUCCUAGUGUAGAGGUGAAAUUCGUAGAUAUUAGGAAGAACACCGGUGGCGAAGGCGGCCCACUGGCUCGAUACUGACGCUGAGGUGCGAAAGCGUGGGGAGCAAACAGG